UACGAGGGGAGCAAGCGUUGUUCGGAUUUACUGGGCGUAAAGGGCGCGUAGGCGGUCGUGACAAGUCACUUGUGAAAUCUCCGGGCUUAACUCGGAACGGUCAAGUGAUACUGUCGGACUAGAGUACAGAAGGGGCAACUGGAAUUCUCGGUGUAGCGGUGAAAUGCGUAGAUAUCGAGAGGAACACCUGCGGCGAAGGCGGGUUGCUGGGCUGAUACUGACGCUGAUGCGCGAAAGCCCAGGGGAGCGAACGGG
Molecule: ribosomal RNA, 255 nt
Filed under: uncultured bacterium
Lineage: Bacteria
Description: partial 16S ribosomal RNA
Rfam family: Bacterial small subunit ribosomal RNA
Source: RNAcentral